CCUGCCGCGAGCGCUCCCUGCGUAGUGACUUGUGCUGACACAACGCACCGCAUCUGGUGGAGAGAGCUUUCCGGGUGACUCACGUCGUUGCAAUUUGCUUUUGUUUCUGGGGUGUUUUAGCUGCAGUUUUCUUCCCUCUGGUUUUAAUUUUGAGAGGAAAGGAAGAAAAAAAAAAAAACAAAUGAAUCAAGAAUGAGUGUCCUUUCCAGUAACCCUCCCCCACUUUAAAGUUGACUGUCUUAACAAGUUUGAUAACUACCCAAGACGUGCGGGGGUGGCACAGGCGUUUGCCGUGGCGGAUGUAACCUGUGCAGCUCCUUCCUUCUACUGCUGCUUUGCAUUGGUGU
Molecule: long non-coding RNA, 347 nt
Filed under: Rattus norvegicus (Norway rat)
Lineage: Eukaryota; Metazoa; Chordata; Mammalia; Rodentia; Muridae
Description: long non-coding RNA NONRATT027924
Source: RNAcentral